CACAAACAUAUUAUUCACCUGAGUACACAACACCAGCACAAAAAAAAUUCAUAUUACAAGAACACAUUGGUAUUGAAGGAACUAGAUACUGUUCCGAAAUAUCACUUACUCGAACCGUCCUGACCGCGUGGCUCGGUUGGAGGAGCAUUGGGCUGGUGUUCCAGGGGUCGUGGGUUCGAGUCCCACCGUGGCCGGGCAUAUUUUUCAAGCUCGCCCGGUGUGGAUAUGCACUCGGAGUGGCAUCGCAGGCGUGUAUUCACCUGAGUACACAGCACCAACA
Non-coding RNA from Paramuricea clavata, 280 nucleotides. Lineage: Eukaryota; Metazoa; Cnidaria; Anthozoa; Malacalcyonacea; Plexauridae. The record is from the annotation of a GenBank genome assembly.